RNAcentral lists this ribosomal RNA (253 nucleotides) under uncultured bacterium. RNAcentral's name for it is "partial 16S ribosomal RNA". It matches the Rfam family "Bacterial small subunit ribosomal RNA", at positions 524 to 776 of the family's 1533-position model. The record is from RNAcentral.
GACGGAGGAUGCAAGUGUUAUCCGGAAUCACUGGGCGUAAAGCGUCUGUAUGUGGUCUAACAAGUCAACUGUUAAAUCUUGAGGCUUAACUUCAAAAUCGCAGUCGAAACUGUUAGACUAGAGUAUAGUAGAGGUAAAGGGAAUUUCCAGUGGAGCGGUGAAAUGCGUAGAGAUUGGAAAGAACACCAAUGGCGAAGGCACUUUACUGGGCUAUUACUAACACUCAGAGACGAAAGCUAGGGUAGCAAAUGGG